Molecule: long non-coding RNA, 370 nt
Organism: Oncorhynchus keta (chum salmon)
Lineage: Eukaryota; Metazoa; Chordata; Actinopteri; Salmoniformes; Salmonidae
Exons: 2
Source: RefSeq, a predicted model, not a curated record
GACAGACCAGGAACAUGCCAGAGAGAGAUGGUUGAACAGUGUUUUAUUGAGGUGAGCAUGACAGACCAGGAACAUGCCAGAGAGAUGGUUGAACAGUGUUUUAUUGAGGCGAGCAUGACAGACUGGGAAUAUACACAAGCUCUCGAUCAAACCUUACAAUUCUCACAAUGUUAAAGACCUUGUUACUUAAAUGCAUCUAAAAACAAUCAAAUGCAAAGCUUUCAUUAACAAGCAAAUAACAGAAGACAAUAUUAAUGCGUCACCUUGGUGAGUUCAGAGUAAGAUAACAGUGGCAUUAUGAUGUACAACGAAAUGCUUAGAGUUCAAAAAACAGACAGCGUGUGAAGCAUGUUAAGAAACAUCUGUUAAC